Molecule: ribosomal RNA, 428 nt
Filed under: uncultured bacterium
Lineage: Bacteria
Description: partial 16S ribosomal RNA
Rfam family: Bacterial small subunit ribosomal RNA
Source: RNAcentral
GUGGGGAAUAUUAGGCAAUGGGCGAAAGCCUGACCUAGCAACGCCGCGUGAAGGAAGAAGGCCUUCGGGUUGUAAACUUCUUUUAUGAGGGACGAAGGACGUGACGGUACCUCAUGAAUAAGCCACGGCUAACUACGUGCCAGCAGCCGCGGUAAUACGUAGGUGGCGAGCGUUGUCCGGAUUUACUGGGUGUAAAGGGCGCGUAGGCGGACUGGCAAGUCAGAUGUGAAAUACAGGGGCUCAACCCCUGAACUGCAUUUGAAACUGUUGGUCUUGAGUAUCGGAGAGGCAAGCGGAAUUCCUAGUGUAGCGGUGAAAUGCGUAGAUAUUAGGAGGAACACCAGUGGCGAAGGCGGCUUGCUGGACGACAACUGACGCUGAGGCGCGAAAGCGUGGGGAGCAAACAGGAUUAGAUACCCCAGUAGUCC